RNAcentral lists this unclassified non-coding RNA (225 nucleotides) under uncultured fungus. RNAcentral describes it as "sequence contains ITS1, 5.8S rRNA gene". The stretch from base 177 to 225 matches the Rfam family "5.8S ribosomal RNA", at positions 1 to 49 of the family's 154-position model. Lineage: Eukaryota; Fungi. The record is from RNAcentral.
UCUCCGUAGGUGAACCUGCGGAGGGAUCGGUACUGAGGGAGGGCUCACGCCCGACCUCCCACCCUUUGUGAACACAACUUGUUGCUUCGGGGGCGACCCUGCCGUUUCGACGGCGAGCGCCCCCGGAGGCCUUCAAACACUGCAUCUUUGCGUCGGAGUUUAAGUAAAUUAAACAAAGCUUUCAACAACGGAUCUCUUGGUUCCAGCAUCGAUGAAGAACGCAGC